This 346-nucleotide unclassified non-coding RNA is filed under the name soil metagenome. RNAcentral's name for it is "partial contains 5.8S ribosomal RNA, internal transcribed spacer 2, and large subunit ribosomal RNA". The stretch from base 1 to 120 matches the Rfam family "5.8S ribosomal RNA", at positions 35 to 154 of the family's 154-position model. The record is from RNAcentral.
GAUGAAGAACGUAGCGAAAUGCGAUACGUAAUGUGAAUUGCAGAAUUCAGUGAAUCAUCGAGUCUUUGAACGCACAUUGCGCCCCCUGGUAGUCCGGGGGGCAUGCCUGUCCGAGCGUCAUUGCUGCCCUCAAGCCCGGCUUGUGUGUUGGGUCUCGUCCCCCUUCCCGGGGGGACGGGCCCGAAAGGCAGCGGCGGCACCGUGUCCGGUCCUCGAGCGUAUGGGGCUUUGUCACCCGCUCUGUAGGCCCGGCCGGCGCUUGCCGAUCAACCAAAACUUUUUUCCAGGUUGACCUCGGAUCAGGUAGGGAUACCCGCUGAACUUAAGCAUAUCAAUAAGCGGAGGA